AAAUUCUGCUGUAAAGAAGCUGUAGCAAGACAAUAGCGUCAUUAUUCAGCUCCCGUCAGUUCAGUUCAUGGUCAAUAACUGUAAAAUU
Molecule: long non-coding RNA, 88 nt
Organism: Sinocyclocheilus rhinocerous
Lineage: Eukaryota; Metazoa; Chordata; Actinopteri; Cypriniformes; Cyprinidae
Exons: 3
Source: RefSeq, a predicted model, not a curated record